This is a non-coding RNA of Charadrius vociferus (killdeer), 46 nucleotides long. Lineage: Eukaryota; Metazoa; Chordata; Aves; Charadriiformes; Charadriidae. The record is from Rfam.
CCAAAGGCUCUUUUCAGAGCCACCCACACACUCAGAAAAAGAGUUG